RNAcentral lists this ribosomal RNA (253 nucleotides) under Dorea formicigenerans. Its description in RNAcentral is "partial 16S ribosomal RNA". It matches the Rfam family "Bacterial small subunit ribosomal RNA", at positions 524 to 776 of the family's 1533-position model. Lineage: Bacteria; Bacillati; Bacillota; Clostridia; Lachnospirales; Lachnospiraceae. The record is from RNAcentral.
UACGUAGGGGGCAAGCGUUAUCCGGAUUUACUGGGUGUAAAGGGAGCGUAGACGGCUGUGCAAGUCUGAAGUGAAAGGCAUGGGCUCAACCUGUGGACUGCUUUGGAAACUGUGCAGCUAGAGUGUCGGAGAGGUAAGUAGAAUUCCUAGUGUAGCGGUGAAAUGCGUAGAUAUUAGGAGGAACACCAGUGGCGAAGGCGGCUUACUGGACGAUGACUGACGUUGAGGCUCGAAAGCGUGGGGAGCAAACAGG